UCGUAUCUUCCAUUUUUGAAGAAAUAGCAGCUAGAGUGUCACACAGAAGUCAGCGAGCCUGUUGGUUUGGGGUUUUUUGCUGGUACUAAGAAGUUGAAAGAUGGUACACCGCUUUGUGACAGGGUCUUAUGGAAAGAGGGUCUCAAGUGAGCUCCUGGAAUUUCCCUUUCAGAUCCUCUGUGACUUGGGAGAGAAUACAUUUUUGCAGAUGCCCAGGUCUGUUCAGGAGAAACUGAAGAUGAAACUUAACAAUACAAGAAGCUAAAGAGGAAGAAGGAAAAGGUGCAGCUGAGGUGCAGACACUGGAGAAACAAAAACAUACUGGAGAGUAGAGUCAGAGAGUCUUGACGAAGCAGUGAAGGUUCGCAAGGAAUGAAAUCAAAAGAAAUACCAACUGGCUGUAAAUGCAUCGGAUGAGAAGAAAAGGAAGUUACAAGACUGGUUAUAGCAUAUUGCAGAGAGGGUGGCUUCUCAUCUAGAG
Strigops habroptila (Kakapo) is the source of this 481-nucleotide long non-coding RNA. RefSeq lists it as uncharacterized. The record is from RefSeq and is a predicted model, not a curated record. The transcript is spliced from 3 exons. NCBI's taxonomy places the organism in Eukaryota, Metazoa, Chordata, Aves, Psittaciformes, Psittacidae.